Molecule: long non-coding RNA, 236 nt
Filed under: Pogona vitticeps (central bearded dragon)
Lineage: Eukaryota; Metazoa; Chordata; Lepidosauria; Squamata; Agamidae
Description: lncRNA (ENSPVIG00000024012.1)
Source: RNAcentral
CUUUCAAUAUGUUAAGAGUGUUAUAUGAUGCAGUGCUAGACCAGGUUUGCAUCCUGGUUGAUGCAGCUUUUUUCCUUCCCUGCAACAAUGCUCUGUAUAGCACACACACUAAGGGACGUGAAGACUUCCGGACAUCAGCAGUGUUUUCCAAUUGCACAAGCGCUGUGGUAUCAACUAAUAAAGUGCUGGAGGGCACUUUAUGCAACAAGAACUGCCAAAUGGAAUCCCACUGUUAA